This 103-nucleotide small nuclear RNA is filed under the name Neogale vison (American mink). Lineage: Eukaryota; Metazoa; Chordata; Mammalia; Carnivora; Mustelidae. The record is from RNAcentral.
AUGCUUGCUUCAGCAGCACAUGUACUAAAAUUGGAAUAAGAGAAUAUUAGCGGGGCCCCUGCCCAAGAAUGACAUACAAAUUCAUGAGAUGUUCCGUAUUUUU